RNAcentral lists this long non-coding RNA (293 nucleotides) under Solanum tuberosum (potato). Its description in RNAcentral is "long non-coding RNA (STUB_LNC001036)". Lineage: Eukaryota; Viridiplantae; Streptophyta; Magnoliopsida; Solanales; Solanaceae. The record is from RNAcentral.
ACUUGCUAAGUCUCUAUCUCUUAAUGCAUUUUUUCAUGGACUGCAUUCAAGUCGGCAAUCAUGUGAUUGUUUUCUUGUUAAGUUUUGAAGAUGUGGGAAUAUGGUUUUGCUAAUAUUUCAAUAUUGAAAAUAGGUCACAAGAGUUGUGUUGUGCUCUAAUGUUAAAUAUACUUUUUUUUAAAUGGCAUGUAUUACUACUGUCAUUUGUUUGAUUACAAGAUAAUAUUUUCUUGCCUCUUUUUAAAUAUGUUUCAUGGAUUUCUUAUCAAUAAGGCCUGUUACUUUCUUANNNN